This 65-nucleotide transfer RNA is filed under the name Dipodomys ordii (Ord's kangaroo rat). It matches the Rfam family "tRNA". Rfam says of the family: Transfer RNA (tRNA) molecules are approximately 80 nucleotides in length. Their secondary structure includes four short double-helical elements and three loops (D, anti-codon, and T loops). Further hydrogen bonds mediate the characteristic L-shaped molecular structure. tRNAs have two regions of fundamental functional importance: the anti-codon, which is responsible for specific mRNA codon recognition, and the 3' end, to which the tRNAs corresponding amino acid is attached (by aminoacyl-tRNA synthetases). tRNAs cope with the degeneracy of the genetic code in two manners: having more than one tRNA (with a specific anti-codon) for a particular amino acid; and 'wobble' base-pairing, i.e. permitting non-standard base-pairing at the 3rd anti-codon position. Lineage: Eukaryota; Metazoa; Chordata; Mammalia; Rodentia; Heteromyidae. The record is from Rfam by way of RNAcentral.
GGUGGCUCAAUAGUAGAGUACUUGCCUUGCAUGCAUGAGGCCCUGGGUUUGAUUCCUCAGCACCA